Molecule: non-coding RNA, 100 nt
Organism: Rhodocollybia butyracea
Lineage: Eukaryota; Fungi; Basidiomycota; Agaricomycetes; Agaricales; Omphalotaceae
Source: the annotation of a GenBank genome assembly
UCCCUGGUAGUAUAUCGGUUUAGUACACGCGCCUGUCAUGAUCAUACGCAAUUGUCGUUGUCCGACGCGCGAAAGCUGGGUUCGACUCCCAGCCAGGGAG